AAAAACCGGUGUUUCUCAACACCA
Molecule: unclassified non-coding RNA, 24 nt
Filed under: Chlamydomonas reinhardtii
Lineage: Eukaryota; Viridiplantae; Chlorophyta; Chlorophyceae; Chlamydomonadales; Chlamydomonadaceae
Description: small RNA Cre_0002
Source: RNAcentral